RNAcentral lists this long non-coding RNA (1123 nucleotides) under Fragaria vesca (wild strawberry). RNAcentral's name for it is "long non-coding RNA (FVES_LNC003565)". The record is from RNAcentral. Lineage: Eukaryota; Viridiplantae; Streptophyta; Magnoliopsida; Rosales; Rosaceae.
UUGCAUGCAGGAUGCAGCAGCGUGUAGUGUGCUCAAUCCAUAUAUCCUAAGAUCAAGUUGCAACCCGAAUGUUUGUUGUCUUCAGAAUUCGAUCUCUAUAUAAGUGCAGUCUGUACUCACUUCGUUCCUCACCCAUUCCCUAAACAAGAUCGACAUAUAUACUUCAUAUCGAUCAUUCAAUAGGAAAUUAGGAAUAACAAAUACGCCUGCAUGGAUCAGUUUCGUCUUCUCUGCCUGUUUUCACUUAUCUAUGUAAGUCCUAAUUAGUUAAUUUGCAAAUUACGAACUUCUUCUAUAUAUCUAUAGUCUUUGACAUGUGAUUUUUAUUUAGGGGCACGUACGCUAGCUUCACUCACUCUAUACCUAAAUGAAUGUAUAGAAAUGUGGGAUCCGUUUCAUCUUCUUUGCAAAUUCCUCAUUUCAUUAUUUGCUAUAUAUGCAGACAUGCAAUUUUAUACAAGAUAUAUAAGUUUGUUUACAAAAAUUUCUCACGACCUAUGAAGCCAACCAUUUUACUUUCAUAGGGUUGCACUCACUCUAUUAGAAUGCUAGACAUCUAUAUAUACUUUUAGACAAAGAAUAAUGAAAACUAAAUGUCGCUAAAUCAAUUUUAAUGGUGUUAAUUAGUGGUGAGAUAUCAAUUAAAAUGCCUUUGAAUUGUAAUGCAUCGAUGGAUUAAUUUUGCCUUUUUUACCUAUAACAAAACCUGACUUGCGUACAUAACUACGUACAUAUCUGUAUACGAUAUUGAGUCAAGGAAAUUAACUUAAUUUUGUGGCAUGCACACAGGUGGCAUCAGUAGUGGUGGGAUUUGGGUAUGCUAAUAAGGUCGAUGAUGGCAAGUCACUACUAGGAAAUCGAUCAAUAGACAUAGACGUUUUUCGUCCCUAUUAGGGGUCAUUGGGCACGAAAUCUAUGCCUAUUGACUGAUAGGGACGAAUUUUCUGUAUGUAUCCCCCUGUAUCAUCUCCAAAUUGGUUUUUUAUCAUUAGAGGACGGAUAUCCCUGUCCGUCCCACCCUGAGCACCAUAACUCACGCGCUCUCUUUUUCCCUUUCUGACAGUAACAGUACUCCCUGUUUUUUAUAUAGUAUAAUAAUCUGAUCUGUUGUUAUUCAUCCGUA